RNAcentral lists this ribosomal RNA (460 nucleotides) under uncultured bacterium. RNAcentral describes it as "partial 16S ribosomal RNA". It matches the Rfam family "Bacterial small subunit ribosomal RNA", at positions 338 to 795 of the family's 1533-position model. The record is from RNAcentral.
CCUACGGGUGGCAGCAGUGAGGAAUAUUGGUCAAUGGGCUUACGCCUGAACCAGCCAAGUCGCGUGAGGGAAGACUGCCCUAUGGGUUGUAAACCUCUUUUGUCAGGGAGCAAUUGGCGCUACGUGUAGCGUUAUCGAGAGGACCUGAAGAAAAAGCACCGAUUAACUCCGUGCCAGCAGCCGCGGUAAUACGGAGGAUGCGAGGGUUAUCCGGAUUUAUUGGGUUAAAGGGGUGCGUAGGGGAAAAGCCAAGUCUGCGGUAAAAUCGCGGGGCUCAACCUCGCUCCGCAGUUGAAACUGGCGUUCUUGAGUGCGCGAGAGGUAUGCGGAAUGCGUGGUGUAGCGGUGAAAUGCAUAGAUAUCACGCAGAACUCCGAUUGCGAAGGCAGCAUACCGGCGCCCAACUGACGCUGAAGCACGAAAGCGUGGGUAUCGAACAGGAUUAGAUACCCCAGUAGUC